AAGAAGGCAAAUAUUCUGUUGGAUCUAAGUAUCAAGUUGAUAGAAAAUGAUGGAAGAGCAAUAGCUUAAAUAGAAUAUGCAAAUGCAGUUGGAAGUCUAAUGUAGGUGGCACAAUAUACAAGACCUAAUGUUGCAUUUGCUAUGAGUAAACUAAGUAGGUUUACUAGCAAUCCAAGUUUCGAACAUUGGAAGGCUAUCGGGAGGGUUCUUGGUUACUUAAGCUUACCUAAAAUCUUGGAAGGAUAUAUGGACGCCAGUUGGAUAUUAAGUGCGGGAGAAAAAAAGCCUACUUUGGGUUAGGUAUUUACUCUUGGAGUAGGUGCAGUUUCUUAAAAGUCUAAGAAACAAACUUGCAGUAUUCACUCAACAAUGAAGUCGAAAUUUGUAGCACUGGCCAAAACUCGAAAAGAAGCUAAGUGGCAAAGAGAUUUGUUAUGUGAAAUUCCUUUAGAUAUAAAGGAUAUUUCUUCAAUAUCUAUUUUGUGUGCUAGUCAAGCUACUCUUGCUGAGCAUAUAACGAAGUGUAUAAUGGAAAGUCUAGACAUGAGUAUGUAAGGAAAUUAAUCAAGCAUUGUAAUUUCUUUUACACAUGUUCAGUCUAGUGAGAACUUAGUUGAUCCAUUUACUAAACCUCCCACGAGAGAAUUAGUAAGAUCGACAUCAAGUAGGAUAUGUUGAAACUCCUUAAAUAGGUCCAUCAAUGAUAGCAACCAUAGCAAAAGUAUAAUAAAUAAGUAUAUUUAGGUUCAAGCGAUAAUAACAAAUCAUUCGGUAAGUGGAUAGAUUUCAGCACUAUUAAAUUAUUGAACCCUAUCUUUGGUAAAUGGUAUUGGUUGUUACUAUUGGAGGGAUGAGUGAUAAUAAUAAAAGUCUUAAUGAAGUUUCAUGCAUGGUAUAAAGUAUUUUUAAAUGUAACAAAGAUGCUAGAAGAACUUUACCAAUGUGAAAUUUGAGGUGAUGCUGCCUCAUUAGAGAGUUUGAGUUUUCUCUCUUUAAAGGUUCAGUUAAAAAUGAUAAGUGCAAGGUCAUAUUAGUAUUAAGCGAGUUAGAGGAACUUGUGAAAAGUUUAACAUUCGUGUGUGUGAUUUCAUCAUUAUUGUCUCAAGAAAUAACUAGUUCAAAGCGUUAUAGCUACUUGGGAUUUCGAUAAUCCUUUAUGAGAUUUACACUAUGGUUAGAUUCAAAUCGAAAGAUAUCUAAUACUUAUGCUUAAGCGUUGAUAUUUGAUUAUGUGAUUCAUAAUGAUUUUGAACAAGUGGAGGAUUGAUUGUUCAAAAUAUCAAAUGAGUGGAUGAAUUUAGAAAAGGAAAAACAAGCAGGUCACAAAAUGGCCUAUGUGACCACACAAGCAUCUAAGGCUUGCAAUCCCAUGUGGUAUUUUAGAAAUAUUGGAGGCAGCCAAAGCUACUACUAUGCGACCGGAUAGUUAUAGCCUAUGCGUCACACAGUUGAAAAAUAUGACUAUUGUCUUGAAAUUUUUUCGAAUUUCUGGUAGUUUUCUUGGUGAAUCCAUGUACCUAUUCAUUUGAGUUGGAAACAUUUCGUGUAGGGAUGAUAGAAAUCUAUAAAUACAUAUUGUGUUCGUUCCAAAAACACAUGAAAAACUUACUCUACUAUUCAUCCAAUUUUGUAUGAAAUUGUGUACCUCUACAUAAUCAAAUUCUUCUUUUCCACUUGGUCAUUUGAAGAAUCCUUUGCUUUUGGUGUUCUUCUUGAGCCUUGAUUAAUCAUACAAACUAUUUUCCAUUUUAAUCCUUAAGAGCAUUGUGAAUGAG
RNAcentral lists this long non-coding RNA (1775 nucleotides) under Olea europaea subsp. europaea. The record is from RNAcentral. Lineage: Eukaryota; Viridiplantae; Streptophyta; Magnoliopsida; Lamiales; Oleaceae.